This 231-nucleotide long non-coding RNA is filed under the name Hordeum vulgare. RNAcentral describes it as "long non-coding RNA (HVUL_LNC002402)". Lineage: Eukaryota; Viridiplantae; Streptophyta; Magnoliopsida; Poales; Poaceae. The record is from RNAcentral.
GGCGCCUGCUGGCGUCGUCCGCGGCCUGCCCCCGGCCGCGCCGCCGAGGCGGGCCACCCUCAGGCUGCGCCGCGACGGCGAACCGAGGCGCUGGUAGUUCCUCCGCGCCCAGUACACCUGCACGCUUCGGCGCGGCCGGGACACGAGGCCGGCCAUGCGAUCGGAGAAGGCGUGUCCUCGUGCUCUGCUGGCGCGACGGGAUGGCACGGUGAUAUAUGUAGUAGCUGCGUG